AUGUAAGCCAAAGUGGUGGCGCAAUUCCUAAAGAUACCUUUAUAGCCGUUUGCACAAUCGAGAAGGAAAAUUCACGACUCAACAGAUUGCUAUAAGAGAGGCGUUUUUCAGAAGUUGGGAUCUUAGUAAUUGAUGAACUUCACAUGGUAUUUUGAAUUUGGCAUUUUUGAGAAUUAUGAUGCAAAAAAUACAUUCUUUUAAUCAUUUUGUUUGGCAGGUUGGAGAUCAGCACAGGGGCUAUCUUUUCGAACUUAUGCUGACAAAACUUUGGUAUGGAGCUGGUGACCCCACUCAUGAUCUUCAAAUUGUUGGGAUAAGUGCCACCUUGCCCAAUGUCAAUUUUGUUGCUGAUUGGCUUCAAGUAAGUUGUAGAAAACAUUGGUCAUUCUCAUGCAUAUCAAGAAUCGGAAAACACUACCUUAUUAAGUGGCUGAAUGCUUUAUAUCUAAUUAGUUUUUUAGGCAAUUUUAUACUAGACAGAUUUUGUCACUGUGGUAUCUAUCAAUGAGCAAUAAGUGAAAAACACAAAGGAAAACUUAUUCUCAUCUUCCAUGUUAGCAGCAAGAAAACAAUUUUCUUAAUUUUUCGUGUUGAGAUCAUAGCAAAGAAAUAUUUGUAUGGUGGACACUUGGCAGCAUUGAAAUUUGUGGAGUCGAUGCUAACUUUGUUAAUCUAUAGAAGAUAAAACAAUCUCAUUAUAAUUUCAGCUUUAUGUUAAAAUAUUGUUGGAUUUCCUCAUUCUCUUGUCAACAUGUUGCUGAUGCAGGUGUGUGUUUUCUAUCUGCUUCUUCGAGCCCUUGAUGCUGUUGGUAUGCUCUGUUACCUUUAUGUGUAGGUUCUAUUAUUUUACAUCACUUGUAGCUUCUUUAGUUUUUGUACAAAUUAGGCAGCCUACUAACACCUUUGGGCCCCAUUUAUUAUUAGGAUAUGACAUAGGAAAUGGUAUUUUAUGCAUUUGACUUAACUAGGACUCGGACUUAGUCAAUGAGACAAAAAUUGCAAUUUUUUUCCUACUUGGAAAGCUGGGACAUGGACUCCUGUCAAUCAUGUCCUGUGUAAAAAACACAACCUUAAUGUACAAGGUCUUUGUGAUCCACCUAUUUAAUAAAAAUGACAAUAAUCCUUACUUACAUGUUGUUUCUUUUUAACUUAAUGGACAUAAAGGGGACACAACUUAAACUUGUAUGCUAUAUAUGUAUGUUUCUUCUUGACUUAACUGAGAAAGUAAUAGAAAUGGCUUUUCCUUUUGAUCAGAGGAUGAUACCUAGAUAGAUACUAUAGUGAAGAUACUAAUUUUGAUGGAAUUUCAUCGCCAUAUCGAUGAUCCUGAUUGGAAUUUCUCAUGAGGUACAAAGGAAUACAUAAUCCUCAUGGAGCAGUUUCAUCAUGUUUCAACUGCCUUUUUGGAGCUCAAUGGCAUGUUUCUUUUACACAUAACUAUUGAUUGUGGAAUCUUAGGUGCUUUAUGUUCUGAUACUAGUAUUGGUCAAGGGGGUACUAUUGCAUGGAAAGUGCUUCAAUACACACUUGCUUACAACAAUGUACUCAAACUAAGGAAAUAAGAAAAGACACAAUGGAAAUUGGAAACGUUUCAGAGCUGCUUCAAACAGCUUAAUGAUGAGUCACUGAAACAAGAAGGUGCCCCUUUAUAGCAAUGUAGUAUUAGGUUAUAUAGUUAGGGAAAACCUCUUAUUAACAAUGUACAAUCAGAUCCCUUUAAUAUCAAUGUAUUACAAUUUUUUGACAUGAUGUUAUUGGAUGAAAUUGAUUGUUUUGGUAUAUAUAUCUUUCUA
Molecule: non-coding RNA, 1793 nt
Organism: Lactuca sativa (garden lettuce)
Lineage: Eukaryota; Viridiplantae; Streptophyta; Magnoliopsida; Asterales; Asteraceae
Source: RefSeq, a predicted model, not a curated record